AUUGAACGCUGGCGGCAGGCCUAACACAUGCAAGUCGAGCGGCAGCACGGGAGUUUGCUCCUGGUGGCGAGCGGCGGACGGGUGAGUAAUGCCUAGGAAUCUGCCUGUUAGUGGGGGAUAACUCGGGGAAACUCGAGCUAAUACCGCAUACGUCCUACGGGAGAAAGUGGGGGACCUUCGGGCCUCACGCUAACAGAUGAGCCUAGGUCGGAUUAGCUAGUUGGUGGGGUAAAGGCCUACCAAGGCGACGAUCCGUAGCUGGUCUGAGAGGAUGAUCAGCCACACUGGAACUGAGACACGGUCCAGACUCCUACGGGAGGCAGCAGUGGGGAAUAUUGGACAAUGGGCGCAAGCCUGAUCCAGCCAUGCCGCGUGUGUGAAGAAGGUCUUCGGAUUGUAAAGCACUUUAAGUUGGGAGGAAGGGCGCUUGGCUAAUACCCAAGGGUUUUGACGUUACCAACAGAAUAAGCACCGGCUAACUUCGUG
RNAcentral lists this ribosomal RNA (486 nucleotides) under uncultured bacterium. RNAcentral describes it as "bacterial SSU rRNA". It matches the Rfam family "Bacterial small subunit ribosomal RNA", at positions 30 to 507 of the family's 1533-position model. The record is from RNAcentral.